RNAcentral lists this long non-coding RNA (1122 nucleotides) under Mus musculus (house mouse). RNAcentral's name for it is "long non-coding RNA chr11:30872860-30873982". The record is from RNAcentral. Lineage: Eukaryota; Metazoa; Chordata; Mammalia; Rodentia; Muridae.
GUGUAUGUGUGAGUGGGCAGCUUCUUAGAACACAAUGUAAUAUUAUAGAUUUAGGUCACAUCUUGUAGUAGUUAAGGAAGUUAGAGAAGCUAAAAUACAGAUUUGGCUAUUAAUUGGAACUUAAAGAAGAGAUGACUUUUUAAACCUUCAGAGGACAUCAAAAUAGACAAAUUUCUCUACAAGAAUAUUAGAAACUUAAUAGAAAACCAUGCUGUGACAUACAAAAACCAUCAAGCCUUUUUAGACUAGUUAUAGUCACAUAAAGGCAAUACAAACUACAAAUGAUGACCAGAGAAAUUCAAGCUAAUGACAAGACAUGCUUGCUUGCUUUUAAUAUAUCUUCUCUUUAUCCACAAAACAAAGCUUGUGUUGCUGCUGGCCAGUAUGACUAGUACCCACAUUCCAAUUCUGUAUAUUAUUAGCAUUACCCUUUGCACAGAAGUUGAUAUUCAUAGAAUUGCUGAAUCUUUCAAAUUAGGUUAUCCUAAAUCAGUCAGAAAUUCAUCAAAAGUUAAAUGAAGUAAGAAUAUUUUGUCUAGCUAUGGUGGUGCACACCUGUAAUCCCAGUUACUCUGAAGGUUGAAGAAAGGGAAUUGAAAGUUCCUAGACAGCCGGAACCACACUAAGCUCACACUAAAACAGGAGGGGCAACUUAAGAAAAUCCUGCGUAACUAAAGAACAAAAGGGCUUAAGGAUGAAACUCAUUGGUAGACUGCUGUCCUGACAUAGACUAGGCAGGUUCUUGGAUUUAAUCUCAAGUACUACAAGGCCAGCUUGGGCAAUUUAAUGAGACCUUAUUUCAGAAUUCAAAGAUAAAAGGAAUGCUCAGUGGUAGAGUAUUUGAUUAGCUUAUAAGAAGCCCUUAAUUUAGUCCCAGGACCACAAUAUAUUUAUAAAAAAACAGGGCAACCAAAUGACAGUACAAGAAACCUCUCCAGGAAUACAGAGUGAAAUAUUGGUGGUUUUGUUGAUAUUUUUAACAUUUUUAAAAAUUAUUUUGUUUAUGUGUUAAUUUGUGGAGAAAUUUUAUUUUCUUUAUAGUAGUUAUACUUCUAUAAUCCUUAUAUAGCUUUAUGUACUUUGAGGCCACAGAUGCCUGGGGAAUCUGGUGAUAUAUUUGUC